This 550-nucleotide long non-coding RNA is filed under the name Homo sapiens (human). Its description in RNAcentral is "non-protein coding lnc-CCDC71L-2:1". The record is from RNAcentral. Lineage: Eukaryota; Metazoa; Chordata; Mammalia; Primates; Hominidae.
ACAGCUUCUGAAAAACUUCUCUGAGAGACAGAUGACAAGUGCCUUCUGUCCUCUAUUCUUUAUUCGUUUUUGUACUUCACAUGCUGCCUAGGGCCACACCCUUUUGGUGGUGAGUGGGGAGCUGGAAGGAGCCAGGUUCUUGAGGACUUUAUAGGAGAAGAAAAGCAACUCGGAGAUAAGAAACUCCACACCCUUUUGAGGAGAGAACUUGACAUCUGAAUUUUCAUGUUUGUGUUCUUUGAACAAACAUCAUUAAAGCAUACCAAAUCUACACCCAGUAAAAGUUUUGGAUGAAGACAGACAAAAAUGUGAAUGGACUACAAUGGAAGAUGCACAGACAUAUAUUAACCAGCACAUCAGGAAAUAGAGUUCAACCAAGUUGGAAGGUCGGCCUUGGAAGACACUGAGUUCCUGACCCUGGAGGACAGGCUGUGUUCAUUCAGGACCUGGAGGUUUUCAAACUCUCUCAAUGCCCUGCUGCUGCAUUUGAACUGUAUACAAGUCCACUUCCUGUGUCUUUGAAGAGGAAAUUUCUCAUCUGCUAUCAAGG